This 1072-nucleotide long non-coding RNA is filed under the name Chinchilla lanigera (long-tailed chinchilla). RNAcentral describes it as "lncRNA (ENSCLAG00000027382.1)". Lineage: Eukaryota; Metazoa; Chordata; Mammalia; Rodentia; Chinchillidae. The record is from RNAcentral.
GUUCUCAGCCAAACUUGACUUCAGAUGCUCAAAAUGUAUUACAGGAAAAAUCCAGAGAUCAGCAGUACUUUCUUUCUUUUUUUUUUUUGUCAAUUUUGAUGAAAAAAGGACGUCAUCUUAGAGACUCAACUUGGAAAUCAUUUCCUGGCAAAGCCAUAAGGCUCACCCCCUUGGACUGAGCUUUGAAGUGUUUCGGGUCGUUAGCACAGCGAAAAUGAAGUGGGGAGGAAGUGGACGCUGAGCUCAUCCGACCGCGUUCCGCUCCUGCCUCUUCCUCCCUCCUCACGCACGCCAGAGUCCAACUGCAAGAGUCCAGGAUGCCUGUGUGGAUUUCCUCGAGCAGAGCUUGGAAAAGAAGUUUCCAGGUUGCAGAGUUCAUGGCUGGCCACCUGGCUCAUGUCCGGCUGACGGCAGCAAGAGGGGAAAAGGAGCUGCUACGGCUAGUUUUGCUGUAAGGCCUUGACCUAGGGAGGGAAGUGGAGGAGCUGGACCACCUCAGAACUGAUACAGACAACGAGGACAAGCAGGCUGCUCGCUGCAAAGCGUCGAGGCCCCGCUGAGUGGGAGUCAGGCUCUCUCUGGCCUGUGAGUCCAAGUAAUGUCCUUGCUGGCCAGACAGUGCAGCGUGUCAGAGGCAUUAGACCCUGGGCUCCCUGCAAGCAUAGAGGACAAAGUGAGCCGCACAAGGCUGGGACCCAAAGCGCAAACGUGUGGAGAAGGAAGCCUGGAAACCCCACCGAGCUCUGCCUGCCUUAGAGAUCCAAAGACACCAGGCAGACGAGACGAGCCUGUUCAUCUCAGGGACGCACAGCCACCUCCCGCCGCCCCUGCUCCCAAGGGCGUUAAACUAGCUGGGCAGUCCCAUUUCCUGCUCAAAACUGCUUUUAAAGCUGUGGUGACAACUGUAGCAAGCCCCAAACUCCUGUCAAUGUUGUUUACCCUGCCCAAACCUACCCCAGAUUCUGUCUCCUUCCUCUCUCCACUUGAAGGUCCAGCUCAAAUCCUAAAGUUCUCUGGGAUCUGGAGGUGGACAAUCUCUCCCUCCUCUAAUUCGCUACCUACUUUACUUUGA